GGGGGCGACCGGUAUCGACGAUAUAUGAGAUGUGUCGAACUGCAAGCGGAGGAUGACAGUUCCCUCCUUAAUCAUCUGUUACAACUAUAAAUGCCGAUUACGGCUACAUGGCUGCAGCUUAAGUCUAGCGGCCCGUCCUAGUGUAGAUGAGUCUAUGGUCUUAACUAAGGGCGUCACUAACAUAGGCUAGUCUCAAAUAUGCUUUUGAAUUUGAGAUAAAAUAUAAGAAAGCUAGUUUAGUUUUGUUUUAGUUCCUGAUACAAAAUUAAAUAAAAAAUCAAUCAGGAAACUAAGCUUGUAGAUGUUUUUCAUUACUCUAUUUCGGACGGGAGUUCGAUUCUCCCCGCCUCCAC
RNAcentral lists this transfer-messenger RNA (353 nucleotides) under Fidelibacterota bacterium. RNAcentral describes it as "Candidatus Marinimicrobia bacterium transfer-messenger RNA". It matches the Rfam family "transfer-messenger RNA". From Rfam's summary of the family: Bacterial tmRNA, also known as 10Sa RNA or SsrA, is named for its dual tRNA and mRNA-like properties. Its role is to liberate the mRNA from a stalled ribosome. To accomplish this part of the tmRNA is used as a reading frame that ends in a translation stop signal. Lineage: Bacteria; Pseudomonadati; Fidelibacterota. The record is from RNAcentral.